This 766-nucleotide ribosomal RNA is filed under the name uncultured Streptococcus sp. RNAcentral's name for it is "bacterial SSU rRNA". It matches the Rfam family "Bacterial small subunit ribosomal RNA", at positions 28 to 776 of the family's 1533-position model. Lineage: Bacteria; Bacillati; Bacillota; Bacilli; Lactobacillales; Streptococcaceae. The record is from RNAcentral.
GAUGAACGCUGGCGGCGUGCCUAAUACAUGCAAGUAGAACGCUGAAGCUUGGUGCUUGCACCGAGCGGAUGAGUUGCGAACGGGUGAGUAACGCGUAGGUAACCUGCCUCUUAGCGGGGGAUAACUAUUGGAAACGAUAGCUAAUACCGCAUAAAAGUCGAUAUCGCAUGAUAUUGAUUUGAAAGGUGCAAUUGCAUCACUAAGAGAUGGACCUGCGUUGUAUUAGCUAGUUGGUGAGGUAACGGCUCACCAAGGCGACGAUACAUAGCCGACCUGAGAGGGUGAUCGGCCACACUGGGACUGAGACACGGCCCAGACUCCUACGGGAGGCAGCAGUAGGGAAUCUUCGGCAAUGGGGGCAACCCUGACCGAGCAACGCCGCGUGAGUGAAGAAGGUUUUCGGAUCGUAAAGCUCUGUUGUAAGAGAAGAACGAGUGUGAGAGUGGAAAGUUCACACUGUGACGGUAACUUACCAGAAAGGGACGGCUAACUACGUGCCAGCAGCCGCGGUAAUACGUAGGUCCCGAGCGUUAUCCGGAUUUAUUGGGCGUAAAGCGAGCGCAGGCGGUUAGAUAAGUCUGAAGUUAAAGGCUGUGGCUUAACCAUAGUACGCUUUGGAAACUGUUUAACUUGAGUGCAGAAGGGGAGAGUGGAAUUCCAUGUGUAGCGGUGAAAUGCGUAGAUAUAUGGAGGAACACCGGUGGCGAAAGCGGCUCUCUGGUCUGUAACUGACGCUGAGGCUCGAAAGCGUGGGGGAGCAAACAGG